This is a long non-coding RNA of Amphiprion ocellaris (clown anemonefish), 572 nucleotides long. The record is from Ensembl. Lineage: Eukaryota; Metazoa; Chordata; Actinopteri; Pomacentridae.
UCUCUCUCUCUCUGUCUGGACUAUGGUCUCUCUCCCUCUCCCUCUCUCUCCUCCACCUCCCCCUCUGACUCUCUUAAACCUUGUGGUUCCGCUUUUGCUUGAGGACGCUGCCUGGUGUUCGUUCUGUGGAGGAUGCUCCAGAGUCUCUCCUGCAGCCGGGGAUCGUGUCCUUCCCAGCGGGACUAGGACGCCUCUGGACAGACGCAGUUUCAGGAGGACCGGACGCCUGAACCGUCCCGACAAAGAGCCACCAUGGAUCUGUCCUUCAUGGCAGCGCAGUUUGAAAGAGCAUUAAGGUCCACAUAAGGAGGAAUAAUGGAGGCAUCAGACAGUGACCAAACCUUCACCCAAGAGACUCACAUCCCCUGACGUCUAUUUGAUUUACAAGUGUCGUCUUCCUAUUGUCACUGAAAGUCAGAAGAAGUUGCAGUUGGAGAUAAAGAAACUGGAAAAGGAUGCAAGUGCACAUUUGUAUCACAGCAGAAGGUCAUGGUUUGGACUUUAAGUGUUUUUUCUUUACAGCUUGAACUAAAUGAAUAAAUAACUUCAGCAACUUUGACAAACUUUUUGUU